GACGAACGCUGGCGGCGUGCUUAACACAUGCAAGUCGAACGGAAAGGCCCCAGCUUGCUGGGGUACUCGAGUGGCGAACGGGUGAGUAACACGUGGGUGAUCUGCCCUGCACUCUGGGAUAAGCCUGGGAAACUGGGUCUAAUACCGGAUAGGACCGUGCUUUAGUGUGUGCGGUGGAAAGUUUUUCGGUGCAGGAUGAGCCCGCGGCCUAUCAGCUUGUUGGUGGGGUAAUGGCCUACCAAGGCGGCGACGGGUAGCCGGCCUGAGAGGGUGUACGGCCACAUUGGGACUGAGACACGGCCCAGACCCCUACGGGAGGCAGCAGUGGGGAAUAUUGCACAAUGGGCGCAAGCCUGAUGCAGCGACGCCGCGUGGGGGAUGACGGCCUUCGGGUUGUAAACCCCUUUCGGCAGGGACGAAGCUUUUGUGACGGUACCUGCAUAAGAAGCACCGGCUAACUACGUG
This 465-nucleotide ribosomal RNA is filed under the name uncultured bacterium. RNAcentral's name for it is "partial 16S ribosomal RNA". It matches the Rfam family "Bacterial small subunit ribosomal RNA", at positions 28 to 507 of the family's 1533-position model. The record is from RNAcentral.